Molecule: ribosomal RNA, 482 nt
Filed under: uncultured bacterium
Lineage: Bacteria
Description: partial 16S ribosomal RNA
Rfam family: Bacterial small subunit ribosomal RNA
Source: RNAcentral
AUUGAACGCUGGCGGCAUGCUUUACACAUGCAAGUCGAACGGUAACAGGCCGCCAGGUGCUGACGAGUGGCGAACGGGUGAGUAAUGCAUCGGAACGUGCCCAGUCGUGGGGGAUAACUACUCGAAAGAGUAGCUAAUACCGCAUACGAUCUAUGGAUGAAAGCGGGGGACCGUAAGGCCUCGCGCGAUUGGAGCGGCCGAUGUCAGAUUAGGUAGUUGGUGGGGUAAAGGCUCACCAAGCCAACGAUCUGUAGCUGGUCUGAGAGGACGACCAGCCACACUGGGAAUGAGACAAGGCCCAGAAUCCCACGGGAGGCAGCAGUGGGGAAUUUUUGAAAAUGGGCCGCAGGCUGAUCCAGCAAUGCCGGCGGGAGGAAGAAGGCCCUCGGGUUUUAAAACUGUUUUGUUAGGAACGAAACGGGUUUUGGUAAUACCCGGGGCUAAUGACGGUACCGUAAGAAUAAGCACCGGCUAACUACGUG